This is a long non-coding RNA of Brassica napus (rape), 1118 nucleotides long. RefSeq lists it as uncharacterized. The transcript is spliced from 2 exons. The record is from RefSeq and is a predicted model, not a curated record. Lineage: Eukaryota; Viridiplantae; Streptophyta; Magnoliopsida; Brassicales; Brassicaceae.
ACAUCUUUCGAGGUUAAUUCGUCGUAACACCCUGUUUACGACAAAUUAACCUCGAAUAGUGUCUUCGUAAAAAAUAUGUUUUCUUGUAGUGACCUUGUAAUUAUUCAAAGUUUUGACAGAUUCUUUUGAGGAGCAUGUAUUUGUCGUGGGCGGUGGGUUUAAGGAAAAAUAUAGACAUAGCAGUGGGGCCCACAAUGUAUGGGGCCCAUUUAAAAAAAAAUAGUUAACGUUGUAAGUGUCGAUCUCUAGAUUAUUUAGGGUUUUUUUUUUUCUUUUCUUUUUGGUUAACUUAUUCUUACAAAAUCCUUUCAUCUUCUUUCUCUAGACUCUAAAUCAAGGAAAAUUCCUUUUUACAUCAGAAACUUCGAUUUGAUCACUCUAGUCUCUCUGGUUCACUCUUUCUUUGGGAAUUCAUAUAAUUAUAAGGUGAUAUUUUUCUGUUUAUUUGAUAUUUUGCUUAAAUCAUGACUGGUGAUUCAGGAUGUCAAAAAAGAAAAAAAAGAAAGGUAGCAGAAUUAUUCUUAAAAUCUCAGAAAGGUUCUAUGGAUAGAUUUGUGAUAAAAAAAAUGUUAAUGAAAAUCCUGAAUCUGCUACUAAAGAUAAUAGUACUGAAUCAAAAGAUCAUUUUGAUGAUAGUAUUAGUCACUUGAGUGAGCAUGAUAAUGUGUUAGAUGAAUCUAAUGUUGAAAGUAUGAAUGUUGAUGAACAAAAAAAGCUCAUUCAUCGAUAUAUAUGAUCCUAGGUAUUGGAAUAACCUUGAUAAUAAAAUGAAAGAUUUGUUGGUUGAAAAAGGGUUUAAAAGAGAAAUGAAUCUUUUGUGUCCCUUAGAUAAGAGCUCUAGACGUUUUUCAAAUGUUUAUUAUUCUAGGAAAUUGAGUAAUGGGGAAAUUAGUGAUAGAAAUAGGCUGGUUUAUUCGAAACAUGAGGAUAAAUGUUACUGUUUUUGUUGCAAGUUGUUUAAAUCUGGUGUUUCCUUAAGUUCGUUAGCUAAUGAUGGAUUAAUAGAUUGGAAGCAUCUUAGUGAUAGGCUUAAACACCAUGAAAUAAGUGCAGAUCAUAUGACUAACAUGAAAACUUGGAAUGAAUUGAAAGUUAGAUUCGAAAAAAAUUUGACGAUU